RNAcentral lists this ribosomal RNA (328 nucleotides) under uncultured eukaryote. Its description in RNAcentral is "partial 18S ribosomal RNA". It matches the Rfam family "Eukaryotic small subunit ribosomal RNA", at positions 1470 to 1796 of the family's 1831-position model. The record is from RNAcentral.
CCCUUAGAUGUUCUGGGCCGCACGCGCGCUACACUGAUGCAUUCAACGAGCCUAUCCUUGACCGACAGGUCCGGGUAAUCUUUGAAUCUGCAUCGUGACGGGGAUAGAUUAUUGCAAUUAUUAAUCUUCAACGAGGAUUGCCUUGUAAGCGCACGUCAUCAGCGUGCAUUGAAUACGACCCUGUAUUCUGUACACACCGCCCGUCGCUCCUACCGAUUGAAGUUUUCGGUGAGUUGACAGGAGGAUUUUUUUGAAACUGGUUCGCCAGUGGAUUUUAGAUCCAAAGGCCAACGAAUCGAUGGCUUUAGAGGAAGGAGAAGUCGUAACA